RNAcentral lists this ribosomal RNA (395 nucleotides) under uncultured bacterium. RNAcentral's name for it is "bacterial SSU rRNA". It matches the Rfam family "Bacterial small subunit ribosomal RNA", at positions 505 to 898 of the family's 1533-position model. The record is from RNAcentral.
GUGUCAGCAGCCGCGGUAAUACGUAGGGUGCGAGCGUUAAUCGGAAUUACUGGGCGUAAAGCGUGCGCAGGCGGUGGCUCAAGCCAGGCGUGAAAUCCCCGGGCUUAACCUGGGAAUGGCGUUUGGGACUGGGUCGCUAGAGUGUGGCAGAGGGAGGUGGAAUUCCACGUGUAGCAGUGAAAUGCGUAGAGAUGUGGAGGAACACCGAUGGCGAAGGCAGCCUCCUGGGCCAGCACUGACGCUCAUGCACGAAAGCGUGGGGAGCAAACAGGAUUAGAUACCCUGGUAGUCCACGCCCUAAACGAUGUCAACUGGUUGUUGGGGAAGGAAACUUCCUUAGUAACGAAGCUAACGCGUGAAGUUGACCGCCUGGGGAGUACGGCCGCAAGGUUAAA